This is a long non-coding RNA of Cervus elaphus (red deer), 170 nucleotides long. RefSeq lists it as uncharacterized. The record is from RefSeq and is a predicted model, not a curated record. The transcript is spliced from 3 exons. Lineage: Eukaryota; Metazoa; Chordata; Mammalia; Artiodactyla; Cervidae.
CACAGGUCAGAAUGGCCAUCAUUAAAAGGUCUACAAAUAAAGAAUGCUGGAAAGGGUAUGGAGAAAAAGGAACCCUCCUACAUACUGCUGGUAGUAAUGUAAACUGGCAUAGCCACUGUGGAGAACAGUUUGGAGGUUCCCUAAAAAACUAAAAUCAGAACUACCAUAUG